Molecule: small nuclear RNA, 107 nt
Organism: Echinops telfairi (small Madagascar hedgehog)
Lineage: Eukaryota; Metazoa; Chordata; Mammalia; Afrosoricida; Tenrecidae
Source: Ensembl
AUGCUCACUUGGGCAGCACAUAUCUCAAAAUUAUAAUGAAACUGAGAAAAUUAGUAAGGUCCCUGUGCAAAGAUGAUCUCCAAAAUCAUGAAGGAUUCUAUGAUUUU